Non-coding RNA from Triticum urartu, 135 nucleotides. NCBI's taxonomy places the organism in Eukaryota, Viridiplantae, Streptophyta, Magnoliopsida, Poales, Poaceae. The record is from Rfam.
AUGAUACUUCCUCCGUCCGGAAAUAUUUGUCAUCAAAAUGGAUAAAAGGGGAUGUAUCUAGACGUAUUUUAAUUCUAGAUACAUUUAUUUUUAUCCAUUUUAGUGACAAGUAUUUUUGGACGGUGAGAGUACAAA